This 406-nucleotide ribosomal RNA is filed under the name uncultured bacterium. RNAcentral's name for it is "partial 16S ribosomal RNA". It matches the Rfam family "Bacterial small subunit ribosomal RNA", at positions 30 to 526 of the family's 1533-position model. The record is from RNAcentral.
AUUGAACGCUGGCGGCAGGCCUAACACAUGCAAGUCGAACGAGUGGCGGACGGGUGAGUAAUGCAUGGGAAUCUAGCUUAUGGAGGGGGCUAACUACGGGAAACUGUAGCUAAUACCGCUUACCAUAGGAUGAGCCCAAGUGGGAUUAGGUAGUUGGGGGGGGAAAGGCUCACCAAGCCGACGAUCCAUAGCUGGUCUGAGAGGAUGAUCGGCCACACUGGGACUGAGACACGGCCCAGACUCCUACGGGAGGCAGCAGUGGGGAAUAUUGGGCAAUGGGCGAAAGCCUGAUGCAGCCAUGCCGCGUGUGUGAAGAAGGCUUUAGGGUUGUAAAGUACUUUCAGUGGGGAGGCGGUACCUAAAGAAGAAGCACCGGCUAACUCCGUGCCAGCAGCCGCGGUAAUUC